Molecule: ribosomal RNA, 254 nt
Filed under: uncultured bacterium
Lineage: Bacteria
Description: partial 16S ribosomal RNA
Rfam family: Bacterial small subunit ribosomal RNA
Source: RNAcentral
UACGGAAGGUGCAAGCGUUGCUCGGAAUCAUUGGGCGUAAAGGGCAGGUAGGUGGUCCCGCGCGUCCGAGGUGAAAGUCUUGGGCUUAACCCAAGAAGCGCCUUGGAAACGGCGGGACUGAGAGUGCUGGAGAGGGUCGCGGAAUUCCCGGUGUAGUGGUGAAAUGCGUAGAGAUCGGGAGGAACACCCGAGGCGAAGGCGGCGACCUGGACAGUGACUGACACUCAACUGCGAAAGCGUGGGGAGCAAACAGG